UCGUCAGGUAGGAUAAUCCUUACCUGUUCCUCCGUUUGGAGGGCAGAAUAGAAUAUGAUGAUUGGAGCUCGCAUGAUUCGUGAUUAACGGCUCUGCGUGAUCAGGACUUGCAACACCCUGAUUGCUCCUGUCUGAU
This is a small nucleolar RNA of Camelus dromedarius (Arabian camel), 136 nucleotides long. Its record names the gene U8. It matches the Rfam family "U8 small nucleolar RNA". From Rfam's summary of the family: U8 is a member of the C/D class of snoRNA which contain the C (UGAUGA) and D (CUGA) box motifs. U8 is the RNA component of a small complex (the U8 snoRNP) which is required for accumulation of mature large subunit ribosomal RNAs, 5.8S and 28S rRNAs. U8 RNA has been identified in human, mouse, rat and Xenopus. The record is from Ensembl. Lineage: Eukaryota; Metazoa; Chordata; Mammalia; Artiodactyla; Camelidae.